GAUGGUGUAGCUUAAUGGUAGAGUGAGUGCCUAGCAUGCAUGAGGUCCUGGGUUCAAUCCCCAGCACCUCUG
RNAcentral lists this transfer RNA (72 nucleotides) under Camelus bactrianus (Bactrian camel). It matches the Rfam family "tRNA". From Rfam's summary of the family: Transfer RNA (tRNA) molecules are approximately 80 nucleotides in length. Their secondary structure includes four short double-helical elements and three loops (D, anti-codon, and T loops). Further hydrogen bonds mediate the characteristic L-shaped molecular structure. tRNAs have two regions of fundamental functional importance: the anti-codon, which is responsible for specific mRNA codon recognition, and the 3' end, to which the tRNAs corresponding amino acid is attached (by aminoacyl-tRNA synthetases). tRNAs cope with the degeneracy of the genetic code in two manners: having more than one tRNA (with a specific anti-codon) for a particular amino acid; and 'wobble' base-pairing, i.e. permitting non-standard base-pairing at the 3rd anti-codon position. RNAcentral also lists the same sequence under 2 other names. The record is from Rfam by way of RNAcentral. Lineage: Eukaryota; Metazoa; Chordata; Mammalia; Artiodactyla; Camelidae.